CCCAUAAACUCUAAAUCUCAAUUUCUCUCCUAUGUGUGAAAUGUGAAAUUUUCUUUAUAUUUGUUAAUGGGUCUUCAAUUUUCAUUAAUGGCAUUGAGAAAUCAAUCUUGUUCGCUCUCAGUUGUAUUAGCAUUAGAAUGGAGCUCUCAUUCCUUCCUCUCCUUCCUUCUCUCUCUCUCUCUCUCUCUCUCUCUCCACUCAAAUCCACUGCUUCUCUGAUUCUAAUUGUCAGCCCCAAUUUGAUGACAUGAAGCGCAGCCUCGACCAUUUCAAAAUCUCCGACGACGAGUGGGAGGAGCACUCCUCCUCCUUCAAGCCCUCUCGCGUCUUCAAGAAGUUGCGCACCCCGACGCCGACGGCAAUCGAGUCAUUCACCUACCGGAAGUGCCGAGUCUCUGAUAAUGACUCUGAUUGCGUCGAGAUUAAGGACGAUUCGGACGACGAUUGAGUGGAGAUCAAGAACGAUUUGGAGGACGACGACGUCGUCGAGGAGGUCCGCCGGCCGGUGACACGUGGAGGGAGGUUUGUGGUCGAAGACGAGGAUAGCGACGGGGAUUGGCCUCCUCUUCGCUUCAGAUUCGAGUCUCUCAUUGCACCACCACCAAACCCUCUUCUUUCCCUUCUUCAAUUGUUACUACUACUUCCAAAUCCCAAUCCCUUUCCUCUAUCUCACAAUGCACUCACAACUCCAACUCAUUUCGGCUCUACACAUGCUCUACAUCAUCUCUCAACUUCCACAGGAGGCCAAAUUCCAUCUGGGUUCCCCAGUUGGUGUGGGUUUCACCGGUUCUUUGGCUACAUCGCGUCUAAAGCUCGGGGACCACAGGUUUAGAAGGCAGAGAUCAGGAAAAACGAGUGGAGAUACUUUGUUCACUACCUUGGAUGGAAUAAAAGGAUGUUGAAAGCAAAAUCAUUAUUGAUGAAGAAGACUAGGAAUAAGCCAUCUGCCAAAAAUGUUACAACAGAGUUGCAACUAGAGCAUCCCUCGCAACAACAGAAGAGGCAGCCACAACAGCCAGGAAAUAGACAGCCACAAGACCCAGCAAAGAGACAGCCACAACAAACAGCAAAGAGGCAGCCAUAACCACCACAGUUGCAGCAACUUGAGGCAUCACAGCAGCGGCAACCACAACCACCAUUACGUUCUAGUGAAAGUGCUGAUCAUGACAUGUCCUCUAAAGGGAAAAAGACACGUGGCGUUACAAAAGGGAUAGGAACUCAUGAUAUUGUCACUGCUGCUAAUGAGAGGAUUCUGAUUCAGAUGAACGAGGAUCAAAAGCUCCCAAAUGGUGUCCAAGCUAAUUCCAGGUUUGUUUCAGAAAUUGGGUCUCGAACACGUUCUUUAGCCCCACUUCAUGUCAAAAAAUGGAAGGAGGUUACACUGGAAGAUAAAGAUGAAAUCACAAAGGGGUUGUUGCAUAAAUUUGAUGUUAAUCUGGAAGAACCUGGCAUUACAAAAUUUGUUGAAGACAAGAUGAAUAACACAUUCAGAUCAUAGAAGGGCAAAUUGCACAAGCACUUCAAAAAAUAUGCUGAUGACAUUGAUUAUGCAAGGGCUCACCCCCCCACUGAGAAAGUGUGUGGUGAUAGGGAGUGGCUGUGUGAUAAUUUGUACACGGAUCAAGCUUAUCAGAUGCAGAACCGUUGUAGGAUCAAUACUAUUAAUAGGAACAAGAAAAUAUAUAAUCACUGUGGUGGUUCACGCCUUUUCACAAAGCAUAUGGAAGCUGAAGAAUAGAAGGGUAAAAAUGUGACCUUUAUUGAGAACUGGAGUCCCGUGCAUCAACAUAGAGGCAACAAUGGUGGUGUUUGGAUCAAUGAAGAAGCAGAGAAGACGGGGAAAAAGCUGACUGGAGAGUUCAUCAAAACCAAGCAACAAUUGGCUGAUUCUGAGGGUACCCUAUUUGAGGAUGUUAUAGUGCCUAUCGCUGUGCAAUUAGAUAUCUUGGCUAAAGAGCUUGGGACUAUGAAGGGUAAGACGAUUCGAGGUAUGGGUUAUGGUCUUAAAAAGGACACAUUUUGUCCUUCAGUCACUGGAUCCACUUCUAACCCAACAAAUGCUCAACUUAUGAGGUAUAUUGUUUUAUUGGAAGAGCGACUUGUUUCUCUUGAGGGUGAGAGACAACCUUGUACACAUGAUGUGGAUGAAGAGGGUGUCGAGGAGGGUAAUAUGGAUGAGGAAAAUGAUGAGGAUGUGGAGAAUGAUGAGGAUGAGGAUUUGGAUGUGCUUUAGGUCUUGAUAUCCUCAGGUAGUUUUUUGCAACUUAUAUUUUGGAUGUACAAAUGAAGCCAUGAUACUUCCAGAUGCAUAUAGAUCUCUUUGUUUAGGGCUUUGGCAGGUUUUUGGGUCUUUGAUAUCCUUAUUAAUUAGCUGUUGGCAGGAUACAUUUUCAAUGUAAAAAUUAUGCCCGGAGAUGUCAAAUGCAUCCAACACUUGAUCUAUAACUUUUCAAGUUACUUUGUAAAGUACUGGCUGA
Rosa chinensis is the source of this 2477-nucleotide long non-coding RNA. RefSeq lists it as uncharacterized. The record is from RefSeq and is a predicted model, not a curated record. The transcript has 10 exons. NCBI's taxonomy places the organism in Eukaryota, Viridiplantae, Streptophyta, Magnoliopsida, Rosales, Rosaceae.